AGAGGUAAUAUAUUUUAAAUUCUUAUACUUUGAGUCAAAAUUUAAAUUUCGAUAGAGUAAAAAUAAGUAUAUUAAUAUUAUACUCGUUGGAUAGCCAGUAUUUAAUUAUGAAUUUUAGGCUCGAGAAAUAGUCGAUUUGGAUAACCCAGGACCAAGAAAUUUCGAUUUGAAGAAAUUGGUUUUCAAAUUUAAUUAAAACUUGGAAGGAAGAUGUGAUGUUGACAUGUGUACAUGGAAUUGUCUUGAUUUUGUAUGGUGUGUACGUAUAGAAAUGGUUAUGAAUAAAAAGAAGUAGGUUUAUUUUAAUAAUUAUUUGCUUUGAUUUUGGAGAAAAAGAAGGGUAGGUUUCCUUGAUUUUAGGGAUUGAUUAUUUUAGUAUUAUUUAAUUACUUGACUUUAUGAGUUGAUAGACUCCACGUGAUGUUUAGAUAAGGGAAAAAUAACUGUAGAUUAUACUGGAUUGAGGCAUUUUACGGGAAAAACCGUCAUGGAAUAAUGAAACAAAAUUAAAUAGAAUUAAGAAUUAAUAUAAUUCCCUUUAAUUAAAUAUUCUAGGCAGUGCUGACUAAUUAGACUACCUUUUGUUUAAACAUAAUAUUCAUUAAAAUAAGAUAGAAUUUUAAUUAUUUCGGAGCAUUUAUUUUGGAAGAUAAACUAUAUUAUAAUAGAUAAGUGAUGGCAAAUAAAUCUUCUAUUUGUAAAUAUAGUAUUAUAGAUAAUCUCAAACUUUUUGAUAAC
RNAcentral lists this long non-coding RNA (738 nucleotides) under Olea europaea (common olive). RNAcentral describes it as "long non-coding RNA (OEUR_LNC013054)". Lineage: Eukaryota; Viridiplantae; Streptophyta; Magnoliopsida; Lamiales; Oleaceae. The record is from RNAcentral.